UUCAUCUUCCUUAUCCGUACGUAGUGUGUGUCGCUUCUUCCUCGCCAUAGCUCUAGCUCGGCAAGAAUAAAGCGGUUCCUUAGAAGUGGUGGAGGUGCUGGGGUUCUGCAUACCAAGGACGUAUAAGGUCACAAAGCUGCACCCAGGUAGAGGCAGAAUCCAAAAAUGCUUGUGUACUUCAAGUAUAGCUGCACAUUACAGAAUCCGAGGCCCUCAAGAUUUAUCCGUAGCCCUCGUGUAGCCCACGAGUUCCAUAUUUUUUAUUGGGAUUGAAGAGUAACGUUUGUGCUGUAUCCCUCUAUUUCAGACUAAAUAAUGUGCAUGCAAAAUUAUAUCUUCAUUACUUUACACCAUUGCACCAAUAUCUGUUGUGCGUUGAUUUUCUGAUGUCCUUGCAUUUGCUAUAGCAAGGAUUUUUAAAAAUCAGCCACAAAAGAAAAAAAUAAAUGGUCAAGGAACGAAGUGGUGUGUAGCAGCUCCCUUUUUUUUAAUCGGCGGCAAGUUUUGCACUCGUGUGUUAGCAACACUGUUUCGCCA
RNAcentral lists this long non-coding RNA (537 nucleotides) under Dermacentor andersoni. Its description in RNAcentral is "uncharacterized LOC126517540". The record is from RNAcentral. Lineage: Eukaryota; Metazoa; Arthropoda; Arachnida; Ixodida; Ixodidae.